RNAcentral lists this ribosomal RNA (506 nucleotides) under uncultured bacterium. Its description in RNAcentral is "partial 16S ribosomal RNA". It matches the Rfam family "Bacterial small subunit ribosomal RNA", at positions 29 to 523 of the family's 1533-position model. The record is from RNAcentral.
AUUGAACGCUGGCGGCAGGCCUAACACAUGCAAGUCGAACGGCAGCACAGAAGAGCUUGCUCUUUGGGUGGCGAGUGGCGGACGGGUGAGUAAUGUCUGGGAAACUGCCCGAUGGAGGGGGAUAACUACUGGAAACGGUAGCUAAUACCGCAUAACGUCGCAAGACCAAAGUGGGGGACCGUCGGGCCUCAAACCAUCGGAUGGGCCCAGAUGGGAUUAGCUAGUAGGUGGGGUAAUGGCUCACCUAGGCGACGAUCCCUAGCUGGUCUGAGAGGAUGACCAGCCACACUGGAACGGGGACACGGUCCAGACUCUUACGGGAGGCAGCAGUGGGGAAUAUUGCACAAUGGGCGCAAGCCUGAUGCAGCCAUGCCGCGUGUAUGAAGAAGGCCUUCGGGUUGUAAAGUACUUUCAGCGGGGAGGAAGGCGGUGAGGUUAAUAACCUUGCCGAUUGACGUUACCCGCAGAAGAAGCACCGGCUAACUCCGUGCCAGCCGCCGCCGUAA